UGCAGCUGCGGUCGCUCGGGAACCACGCCUGGCAGUCAGUCGCAACAUCCUCCCGCCGUUUGUUGAGGCAGUUUGGUGGAGGGAAGUGGAACCUACGCCGACAGAGGCUGUUUCUCUGUCAGGAGGCAAGCACGAGUGCUGAGGAAAACUUUGCCCUUGCCAUGAGACACUUCUCACACCCAGCGUGGCACUGAGGCCAUCAAGGGGCGCCGGCACAGGGACGCUUGGAGGGAGAUGGGGCAGGAUCCACUCGCCUCUGCCCAGCUGCUGCCCUCCCCAGGAGGCCUCUAUGGCUUCACCUACCUCCACCAACCCAGCGCAUGCCCACUUUGAGAGCUUCCUGCAGGCCCAGCUGUGCCAGGACGUGCUGAGCAGCUUCCAGGAGCUGUGUGGGGCCCUGGGGCUGGAACCCGGUGGGGGGCUGCCCCAGUACCACAAGAUCAAGGACCAGCUCAACUACUGGAGCGCCAAGUCACUGUGGACCAAGCUGGACAAGCGAGCAGGCCAGCCUGUCUACCAGCAGGGCCGGGCCUGCACCAGCACCAAGUGCCUGGUGGUGGGUGCUGGACCUUGCGGGCUGCGGGUCGCUGUGGAGCUGGCGCUGCUGGGGGCCCGAGUGGUGCUGGUGGAAAAGCGCACCAAGUUCUCUCGCCACAACGUGCUCCACCUCUGGCCCUUCACCAUCCACGACCUGCGGGCACUCGGUGCUAAGAAGUUCUACGGGCGCUUCUGCACUGGCACCCUGGACCACAUCAGCAUCCGGCAGCUCCAGCUGCUUCUGCUGAAGGUAGCAUUGCUGCUGGGGGUGGAAAUUCACUGGGGUGUCACUUUCACUGGCCUCCAGCCCCCUCCUAGGAAGGGGAGUGGCUGGCAUGCCCAGCUCCAACCCAACCCCCCUGCCCAGCUGGCCAACUAUGAAUUUGACGUCCUUAUCUCGGCUGCAGGAGGUAAAUUCGUCCCUGAAGGCUUCAAAGUUCGAGAAAUGCGAGGCAAACUGGCCAUUGGCAUCACAGCCAACUUUGUGAAUGGACGCACCGUGGAGGAGACACAGGUGCCGGAGAUCAGUGGUGUAGCCAGGAUCUACAACCAGAGCUUCUUCCAGAGCCUUCUCAAAGCCACAGGUCAGGGACCCUCUUGCUGAAUUUCCCCUCCCCCGCCUGACUGUGGCCUGGCUCCUGCCUCUGCCUUCCAAACUUGUCCUCACUGCAAGGAACUCCACACUUUUCUGUUUUUUUGGUCUCAGCAGCAAAGGAGAAGGAACCUGUCCCCUCAGGGAUUAAGCAAGCACAGCCCUAGUUGACCACCCAGCAUGAAAAAUCCUGGAAUCUCUCACAGAUGAACCUGUGUAUGGGAGUUUUGCUUAAGUGGUACUUCAAGAAGGUGCCUCUGUUUACUUUGGUUUUGCACUGCCAUGCGACCAGGUGGUGCAGGUCUCCCAAAUGCCACCCCCCUCCAAGCUUCCCUCUUUGCUCUAAGUCCUCAGGCCUCCUGGGCCUGGGACAGAUGGUUGUUUGUGUCAUCAGAACUUGUGGGGUUCUAUGCGUGGAGCACUCACUGCAGCCUAAGCUGGGAUCCCAGCUCAGAGGUCAGGCCAUGUUGGGAUGUUUAGGGAAGGUGAUGCAUUAUCAGGAGACAUAUCUACUGUCCCCUGCCCUGUACCCCCAGGCAUUGAUCUGGAGAACAUUGUGUACUACAAGGAUGACACCCACUACUUUGUGAUGACAGCCAAGAAGCAGUGCCUGCUGCGGCUGGGGGUGCUGCGCCAGGACUGGCCAGACACCGAUCGGCUGCUGGGCAGUGCCAAUGUGGUGCCCGAAGCUCUGCAGCGCUUUGCCCGGGCAGCUGCUGACUUUGCAACCCAUGGCAAGCUCGGGAAACUAGAGUUUGCCCAGGAUGCCCAUGGGCAGCCUGAUGUCUCUGCCUUUGACUUCACGAGCAUGAUGCGGGCAGAGAGUUCUGCUCGUGUGCAAGAGAAGCAUGGCGCCCGCCUGCUGCUGGGACUGGUGGGGGACUGCCUGGUGGAGCCCUUCUGGCCCCUGGGCACUGGAGUGGCACGGGGCUUCCUGGCAGCCUUUGAUGCAGCCUGGAUGGUGAAGCGGUGGGCAGAGGGUGCUGAGUCCCUAGAGGUGUUGGCUGAGCGUGAGAGCCUGUACCAGCUUCUGUCACAGACGUCCCCAGAAAACAUGCAUCGCAAUGUGGCCCAGUAUGGGCUGGACCCAGCCACCCGCUACCCCAACCUGAACCUCCGGGCAGUGACCCCCAAUCAGGUACGAGACCUGUAUGAUGUGCUAGCCAAGGAGCCUGUGCAGAGGAACAACGACAAGACAGAUACAGGGAUGCCAGCCACCGGGUCAGCAGGCACCCAGGAGGAGCUGCUACGCUGGUGCCAGGAGCAGACAGCUGGGUACCCGGGAGUCCACGUCUCCGAUUUGUCUUCCUCCUGGGCUGAUGGGCUAGCUCUGUGUGCCCUGGUGCACCGGCUGCAGCCUGGCCUGCUGGAACCCUCAGAGCUGCAGGGGCUGGGAGCUCUGGAAGCAACUGCUUGGGCACUAAAGGUGGCGGAGAAUGAGCUGGGCAUCACACCGGUGGUGUCUGCACAGGCCGUGGUAGCAGGGAGUGACCCACUGGGCCUCAUUGCCUACCUCAGCCACUUCCACAGUGCCUUCAAGAGCACGGCCCACAGCCCAGGCCCUGUCAGCCAGGCCUCCCCAGGGACCUCCAGUGCUGUAUUAUUCCUUAGUAAACUUCAGAGGACCCUGCAGCGAUCCCGGGCCAAGGAAAAUGCAGAGGAUGCUGGUGGCAAGAAGCUGCGCUUGGAGAUGGAGGCCGAGACCCCAAGUACUGAGGUGCCACCUGACCCAGAGCCUGGUGUACCCCUGACACCCCCAUCCCAACACCAGGAGGCCGGUGCUGGGGACCUGUGUGCACUUUGUGGGGAACACCUCUAUGUCCUGGAACGCCUCUGUGUCAACGGCCAUUUCUUCCACCGGAGCUGCUUCCGCUGCCAUACCUGUGAGGCCACACUGUGGCCAGGUGGCUAUGAGCAGCACCCAGGAGAUGGACAUUUCUACUGCCUCCAGCACCUGCCCCAGCCAGACCACAAAGAGGAAGGCAGCGAUAGAGGCCCUGAGAGUCCGCCUCGCAGGAGGGGGCCAGUCCUGUUCCAGAUCCCAGCCAGCCCACCCGUCGGCAGAUCCGCCUCUCCAGCCCGGAGCGCCAGCGGUUGUCCUCCCUUAACCUUACCCCUGACCCGGAAAUGGAGCCUCCACCCAAGCCUCCCCGCAGCUGCUCCGCCUUGGCCCGCCACGCCCUGGAGAGCAGCUUUGUGGGUUGGGGCCUGCCAGUCCAGAGCCCUCAAGCUCUUGUGGCCAUGGAGAAGGAGGAAAAAGAGAGUCCCUUCUCCAGUGAAGAGGAAGAAGAAGAUGUGCCUUUGGACUCAGAUGUGGAACAGGCCCUGCAGACCUUUGCCAAGACCUCAGCCACCAUGAAUAACUACCCAACAUGGCGUCGGACUCUGCUGCGCCGUGCGAAGGAGGAGGAGAUGAAGAGGUUCUGCAAGGCCCAGACCAUCCAACGGCGACUAAAUGAGAUUGAGGCUGCCUUGAGGGAGCUAGAGGCCGAGGGCGUGAAGCUGGAGCUGGCCUUGAGGCGCCAGAGCAGUUCCCCAGAACAGCAAAAGAAACUAUGGGUAGGACAGCUGCUACAGCUCGUUGACAAGAAAAACAGCCUGGUGGCUGAGGAGGCCGAGCUCAUGAUCACGGUGCAGGAGUUGAAUCUGGAGGAGAAACAGUGGCAGCUGGACCAGGAGCUACGAGGCUACAUGAACCGGGAAGAAACUCUAAAGACAGCUGCUGAUCGGCAGGCUGAGGACCAGGUCCUGAGGAAGCUGGUGGAUUUGGUCAACCAGAGAGAUGCCCUCAUCCGCUUCCAGGAGGAGCGCAGGCUCAGCGAGCUGGCCUUGGGGACAGGGGCCCAGGGCUAGACAAGGGUGGGCUGUCUGCUUUCGUUCCCACAAAGAAACCACCUCACCCCAGCACAGUGCCACCCCUGUUCAUCUGGGCUGCCUGGCAGAGAGCCUUGCUGUUUACAAUUAAAAUGUUUCUGCCACAAA
This 4111-nucleotide small RNA is filed under the name Pan troglodytes (chimpanzee). RNAcentral's name for it is "retained intron". Lineage: Eukaryota; Metazoa; Chordata; Mammalia; Primates; Hominidae. The record is from RNAcentral.